CACCUUAAUAUACUUAUAUUGGUCAGUUCUCAAACAUUGUGAACUAUGCUGCUGUUGAUCUUUCUAUGUCCUUCUAGGCAUGCCAUCCAAAUGUAAUAAUUAUGCAAUGCUGACAAUUUUAUCAGCAUGAAUUUCAGCACAACAUGUCUUUGCUAGCGAUGACCUCUAACAAACAAAAUUUAGCGUUCUUAUUGAAAUACAAAACAUAGCCAUCACAUUUUUCAAUAUAAAUUUGAAUGGAGGACACUCAGAUUUAACAGUAUCUUAACCAUCCAUCUUU
This 280-nucleotide long non-coding RNA is filed under the name Phoenix dactylifera (date palm). RNAcentral describes it as "long non-coding RNA (PDAC_LNC008711)". Lineage: Eukaryota; Viridiplantae; Streptophyta; Magnoliopsida; Arecales; Arecaceae. The record is from RNAcentral.